AUUGAACGCUGGCGGAAUGCUUUACACAUGCAAGUCGAGCGGCAGCGCGGGGCAACCUGGCGGCGAGCGGCGAACGGGUGAGUAAUACAUCGGAACGUGCCCAGACGUGGGGGAUAACUACUCGAAAGAGUGGCUAAUACCGCAUACGAUCUAAGGAUGAAAGCGGGGGAUCGCAAGACCUCGCGCGUUUGGAGCGGCCGAUGGCAGAUUAGGUAGUUGGUGGGGUAAAGGCUUACCAAGCCCGCGAUCUGUAGCUGGUCUGAGAGGAUGAUCAGCCACACUGGGACUGAGACACGGCCCAGACUCCUACGGGAGGCAGCAGUGGGGAAUUUUGGACAAUGGGCGAAAGCCUGAUCCAGCCAUUCCGCGUGCAGGAUGAAGGCCCUCGGGUUGUAAACUGCUUUGUACAGAACGAAAAAGACUCUUUCUAAUACAGAGAGUCCAUGACGGUACUGUAAGAAUAAGACACCGGCUAACUACGUGCCAGCAGCCGCGGUAAU
RNAcentral lists this ribosomal RNA (500 nucleotides) under uncultured bacterium. RNAcentral describes it as "bacterial SSU rRNA". It matches the Rfam family "Bacterial small subunit ribosomal RNA", at positions 30 to 524 of the family's 1533-position model. The record is from RNAcentral.